CUUAGUGGCGGACGGGUGAGUAACGCGUGGGCAACCUGCCCCGUGCCGGGGGAUACCGCCUGGAAACAGGCGCUAAUACCGCAUAAGCGCAUACAGCCGCAUGGCAGUAUGCGGAAAGCUCCGGCGGCACGGGAUGGGCCCGCGCCCGAUUAGCCAGUUGGCGGGGUAACGGCCCACCAAAGCGACGAUCGGUAGCCGGCCUGAGAGGGCGGACGGCCACAUUGGGACUGAGACACGGCCCAAACUCCUACGGAAGGCAGCAG
This 263-nucleotide ribosomal RNA is filed under the name uncultured bacterium. RNAcentral's name for it is "partial 16S ribosomal RNA". It matches the Rfam family "Bacterial small subunit ribosomal RNA", at positions 91 to 354 of the family's 1533-position model. The record is from RNAcentral.